RNAcentral lists this ribosomal RNA (554 nucleotides) under Mycobacterium marinum. RNAcentral describes it as "bacterial SSU rRNA". It matches the Rfam family "Bacterial small subunit ribosomal RNA", at positions 44 to 601 of the family's 1533-position model. RNAcentral also lists the same sequence under 1 other name. The record is from RNAcentral. Lineage: Bacteria; Bacillati; Actinomycetota; Actinomycetes; Mycobacteriales; Mycobacteriaceae.
GUGCUUAACACAUGCAAGUCGAACGGAAAGGUCUCUUCGGAGAUACUCGAGUGGCGAACGGGUGAGUAACACGUGGGCGAUCUGCCCUGCACUUCGGGAUAAGCCUGGGAAACUGGGUCUAAUACCGGAUAGGACCACGGGAUUCAUGUCCUGUGGUGGAAAGCUUUUGCGGUGUGGGAUGGGCCCGCGGCCUAUCAGCUUGUUGGUGGGGUAACGGCCUACCAAGGCGACGACGGGUAGCCGGCCUGAGAGGGUGUCCGGCCACACUGGGACUGAGAUACGGCCCAGACUCCUACGGGAGGCAGCAGUGGGGAAUAUUGCACAAUGGGCGCAAGCCUGAUGCAGCGACGCCGCGUGGGGGAUGACGGCCUUCGGGUUGUAAACCUCUUUCACCAUCGACGAAGGUUCGGGUUUUCUCGGAUUGACGGUAGGUGGAGAAGAAGCACCGGCCAACUACGUGCCAGCAGCCGCGGUAAUACGUAGGGUGCGAGCGUUGUCCGGAAUUACUGGGCGUAAAGAGCUCGUAGGUGGUUUGUCGCGUUGUUCGUGAAAUC